GACGUAGGGGGCCAGCGUUGCUCGGAAUUACUGGGCGUAAAGGGUUCGUAGGCGGUGCGGUAAGUCGGAAGUGAAAUCUCCAGGCUCAACUUGGAGGCUGCUCCCGAAACUGCCGUGCUAGAGUACGGGAGAGGCGAGUGGAAUUGCAGGUGUAGCGGUGAAAUGCGUAGAUAUCGGGAGGAACACCUGAGGCGAAGGCGGGCUACUGGGCUGAUACUGACGCUGAUGCGCGAAAGCUAGGGGAGCAAACAGG
This 253-nucleotide ribosomal RNA is filed under the name uncultured bacterium. Its description in RNAcentral is "partial 16S ribosomal RNA". It matches the Rfam family "Bacterial small subunit ribosomal RNA", at positions 524 to 776 of the family's 1533-position model. The record is from RNAcentral.